Cercocebus atys (sooty mangabey) is the source of this 80-nucleotide small nucleolar RNA. NCBI's taxonomy places the organism in Eukaryota, Metazoa, Chordata, Mammalia, Primates, Cercopithecidae. The record is from Ensembl.
CGUUGGGGCAUUAAAAUAGGCUAGGGUAGGUGAUUGCACAGAGAAUAUUAUUCUAUUCAUUUCCUUCCUAGCCAAAAAAA